ACAAGCAGCGGAGCGUGUGGUUAAUUCGAUGUUACACGAAGAACCUUACCAGGGUUUGACAUGCAAGUGGUAGGAAGCCGAAAGGUGACCGACCCUUCGGGGAGCUUGCACAGGUGCUGCAUGGCUGUCGUCAGCUCGUGUCGUGAGAUGUUCGGUUAAGUCCGCUAACGAGCGCAACCCUCGCUGUGUGUUAUAUGUGUCACACGGGACUGCCGGUCUUAAGCCGGAGGAAGGUGGGGAUGAUGUCAAGUCAGCAUGGCCUUUAUAUCCUGGGCUACACACACGCUGCAAUGGCCAACACAAUAGGUUGCUAAGCCGCGAGGUGGCGCCAAUCCAUAAAGUUGGUCUCAGUUCAGAUUGUAGGCUGCAACCCGCCUGCAUGAAGAUGGAGUUGCUAGUAACCGCAGGUCAGCUAUACUGCGGUGAAUACGUUCCCGGGGCUU
RNAcentral lists this ribosomal RNA (443 nucleotides) under uncultured Leptolinea sp. RNAcentral's name for it is "bacterial SSU rRNA". It matches the Rfam family "Bacterial small subunit ribosomal RNA", at positions 925 to 1382 of the family's 1533-position model. Lineage: Bacteria; Bacillati; Chloroflexota; Anaerolineae; Anaerolineales; Anaerolineaceae. The record is from RNAcentral.